UACGACCACAUCACGUUGAAACACCGGUUCUUGUACGAUCAUCGAAGUUAAGCAACAUCGAACCUGGUCAGUAUCUAGAUGGGUGACCGCUAGGGAAUACCAGGUGCUGUAAG
RNAcentral lists this ribosomal RNA (113 nucleotides) under Acanthosepion pharaonis. The record is from RNAcentral. Lineage: Eukaryota; Metazoa; Mollusca; Cephalopoda; Sepiida; Sepiidae.